UUGGCGCUUUUUUGNAGCGGGCCCGAUGUUCUGAUNAGCUAGUUGGUGAGGUAAAGGCUUACCAAGGCGUCGAUCAGUAGCUGGUCUGAGAGGACGACCAGCCACACUGGGACUGAGACACGGCCCAGACUCCUACGGGAGGCAGCAGUGGGGAAUUUUGGACAAUGGGGGAAACCCUGAUCCAGCCAUGCCGCGUGAGUGAAGAAGGCCUUCGGGUUGUAAAGCUCUUUCAGCCGGAACGAAACGGUCACGGUUAAUACCCGUGACUUACUGACGGUACCGGAAGAAGAAGCACCGGCUAACUACGUGCCAGCAGCCGCGGUAAUACGUAGGGUGCGAGCGUUAAUCGGAAUUACUGGGCGUAAAGCGUGCGCAGGCGGUUUUGUAAGUCAGAUGUGAAAUCCCCGGGCUUAACCUGGGAACU
This 424-nucleotide ribosomal RNA is filed under the name uncultured bacterium. RNAcentral's name for it is "bacterial SSU rRNA". It matches the Rfam family "Bacterial small subunit ribosomal RNA", at positions 210 to 622 of the family's 1533-position model. The record is from RNAcentral.